Molecule: transfer-messenger RNA, 398 nt
Filed under: Bacteroidales bacterium 36-12
Lineage: Bacteria; Pseudomonadati; Bacteroidota; Bacteroidia; Bacteroidales
Rfam family: transfer-messenger RNA
About the family: Bacterial tmRNA, also known as 10Sa RNA or SsrA, is named for its dual tRNA and mRNA-like properties. Its role is to liberate the mRNA from a stalled ribosome.
Source: RNAcentral
GGGGCUGUUUGGUUUUGACAGCAGGUAGAAGGAGUAAGUAAGCAUGUCGAGCGGGUGUGGAAACGGCUCGUAAAUCACGGUUCACAAAAUCAUAACUGGCGAAAACAACUACGCUCUUGCUGCUUGAUCGAAUCAUAGUAGAUCGGCUUAAUCUCGGCACAAGGUGCUGAGACGAGACAUCCUCCAAAAGCCGUCGCUCCGAGGCUGAUGAUAAGAGGGUGCAGCUAAAUCGGGGAUAGUUUCGGUUUGCCUCGCAACCGAAAUGAAAACAAAGAGGAUAAGGUAGAUGUUGGUGGCUUCGGUCUUGCAACUACUCGAAAACCUAAGCGAAGAUAAACAUGUAGAAAGCUUAUUGUUUCCUUGUUUGGACGAGGGUUCGACUCCCUCCAGCUCCACAA